Priapulus caudatus is the source of this 299-nucleotide long non-coding RNA. RefSeq lists it as uncharacterized. NCBI's taxonomy places the organism in Eukaryota, Metazoa, Priapulida, Priapulimorpha, Priapulimorphida, Priapulidae. The transcript is spliced from 3 exons. The record is from RefSeq and is a predicted model, not a curated record.
GUAGUGAAGACGAAUGUUGUUGCCCACCUUCUGAUUUCCCUGUUUCUGUCUCUUUCGACGAAGAUCAUGCAACAACGAAUACGGCGCGUGGACGAUGUCCACUUUGUUCAAAACUUCAAUGUGCUUUUUGUUGUAAAUAUUGUAUUCAAAAUGGGGAUUUUACCCAUUCAAAUGUUGGCAGGGACAAGGAAAGUCUUCAUGAGAAGAUCCAGAAGCUUAAUAAUCUUAAAAAUGAGAAGCUCAAGCUUAUUGUGAGAUUUGAUGAGUAUCUACAGGUGAAAACCAUAUUAGACCAAAAG